This 663-nucleotide long non-coding RNA is filed under the name Homo sapiens (human). RNAcentral's name for it is "non-protein coding lnc-SH3BP4-5:1". Lineage: Eukaryota; Metazoa; Chordata; Mammalia; Primates; Hominidae. The record is from RNAcentral.
GGUUCUAGGAGCUAAAGAUCGCCACCCUCUAUCAAAAUAUCAUCUACAUAAAAAACCAACCUACACGUCGCUGUGUUGCUAGGGUUCCAUUUUUGUAAAAGGGUUAUAUAGUCUUAUACAUGUGCAUAUUCAUAGUUUUUAAUAUGCACCCCAAAAAAGCUUUCAAAAAGAGGAUGCUGAGGUGGGAGAAUCACUUGAACCUGGGAGGCAGAGGUUGCAAUGAGCCGAGAUGGCGCCAUUGCACUCCAGCCUUGGCAACAGAGUGAAACUCCAUUCCCGCCCCCACCCCCUCCCCCCAGAAAAAAUAAUGAUUUUUUUCCAAAAAAAAUAGCUAUUUAGGUGCUCUAUUUUGUAACACUACAGUAGAAUCUGCAAGAAAACAAGCACUCAGCUAAUAACUUUAUUCUGAAUGUAAUGUUCAAGUUAGAAUUCAACUCACAUUUUCUCCCCAAAAGGACAUGAACAUUUGAAAUUUAUGCUUCCCAGCUCCUACAGUGGUGUUCGGCAGCCAAGCAGUUUUUCACAGAUGCCAUGGGUAGGGUUCAAUGGUCACUGUACUCUUUACUUAGUGAGGGUGGCAUUGUCAUAUUUCACCAGGCAUGGCCAGGUUGCUGGGAUGACACAUCCAGCCGCUCUGAGCUUUGUUUGACCUUCUCCCAGCCU